RNAcentral lists this ribosomal RNA (433 nucleotides) under uncultured bacterium. RNAcentral describes it as "partial 16S ribosomal RNA". It matches the Rfam family "Bacterial small subunit ribosomal RNA", at positions 29 to 507 of the family's 1533-position model. The record is from RNAcentral.
AACGAACGCUGGCGGCAUGCCUAACACAUGCAAGUCGAACGAGACCUUCGGGUCUAGUGGCGCACGGGUGCGUAACGCGUGGGAACCUGCUCUUAGGUUCGGAAUAACUCCCCGAAAGGGGUGCUAAUACCGGAUAAUGUCUUCGGACCAAAGAUUUAUCGCCUUUGGAUGGGCCCGCGUUGGAUUAGCUAGUUGGUAGGGUAAAAGCCUACCAAGGCGACGAUCCAUAGCUGGUCUGAGAGGAUGAUCAGCCACACUGGGACUGAGACACGGCCCAGACUCCGACGGGAGGCAGCAGUGGGGAAUCUUGGACAAUGAGCGAAAGCCUGAUCCAGCAGUGCCGCGUGAGUGAUGAAGGCCUUAGGGUUGUAAAGCUCUUCUACGCGGGAUGAUAAUGACAGUACCGGGAGAAUAAGCUCCGGCUAACUCCGUG